This 467-nucleotide long non-coding RNA is filed under the name Dromaius novaehollandiae (emu). RNAcentral describes it as "lncRNA (ENSDNVG00000011064.1)". Lineage: Eukaryota; Metazoa; Chordata; Aves; Casuariiformes; Dromaiidae. The record is from RNAcentral.
AUCAAAAGCAUCCACUGACACUGCUGGACAGCUGCCUAAGGCUUCUUCAGUUCCCUUUUUGAAAGAUUGUGCUUGUAAGAUUCACUAAUAAAGAUUUCCCAUGAAGUGAUAUCACUCUGCAAGCUUCCAGCUGUAAAAAGGGUACAUCAUCUGCUUUCAGUUCUCGAUGUCGGGUCUCUGCUCUGCCUACACAGAACAUGCUGAACUGUGCAGGAAUGGGAUGGCAUGAGAUGGAGCUGAGAGGAAGUUCCCUUCUUUGCAAAAAGUCGGCACAAGCUCCGUGCCCCACUCUUACGUCUGUGAAUACAUUGGUCUGCRUGUGCAAUGACAGAGUGCCAGAGCAGGUGGAUCAGGAAGCAGCAGAGCAGAGGAUAUGUCUGUCACCUGUCAGAAAAAAAGUGUGUGGAACCUCAGAACUGACAAACGGCUGGAGACAAGCUGUGCUUAAUGGAGACCAAGUGUUCUGA